Molecule: ribosomal RNA, 253 nt
Filed under: uncultured bacterium
Lineage: Bacteria
Description: partial 16S ribosomal RNA
Rfam family: Bacterial small subunit ribosomal RNA
Source: RNAcentral
UACGUAGGGUGCAAGCGUUAAUCGGAAUUACUGGGCGUAAAGCGUGCGCAGGCGGUUUUGUAAGUCUGUCGUGAAAUCCCCGGGCUCAACCUGGGAAUGGCGAUGGUGACUGCAAGGCUAGAGUUUGGCAGAGGGGGGUAGAAUUCCACGUGUAGCAGUGAAAUGCGUAGAUAUGUGGAGGAACACCGAUGGCGAAGGCAGCCCCCUGGGUCAAAACUGACGCUCAGGCACGAAAGCGUGGGGAGCAAACAGG